UCCGUAGGUGAACCUGCGGAAGGAUCCUUA
This 30-nucleotide non-coding RNA is filed under the name Xenopus tropicalis (tropical clawed frog). Lineage: Eukaryota; Metazoa; Chordata; Amphibia; Anura; Pipidae. The record is from RNAcentral. RNAcentral also lists the same sequence under 1 other name.